GGGUUGUGAGGUUAAGCGACUAAGCGUACACGGUGGAUGCCCUGGCAGUCAGAGGCGAUGAAGGACGUGCUAAUCUGCGAUAAGCGUCGGUAAGGUGAUAUGAACCGUUAUAACCGGCGAUUUCCGAAUGGGGAAACCCAGUGUGAUUCGUCACACUAUCAUUAACUGAAUCCAUAGGUUAAUGAGGCGAACCGGGGGAACUGAAACAUCUAAGUACCCCGAGGAAAAGAAAUCAACCGAGAUUCCCCCAGUAGCGGCGAGCGAACGGGGAGCAGCCCAGAGCCUGAAUCAGUGUGUGUGUUAGUGGAAGCGUCUGGAAAGGCGCGCGAUACAGGGUGACAGCCCCGUACACAAAAAUACACAUACUGUGAGCUCGAUGAGUAGGGCGGGACACGUGGUAUCCUGUCUGAAUAUGGGGGGGCCAUCCUCCAAGGCUAAAUACUCCUGACUGACCGAUAGUGAACCAGUACCGUGAGGGAAAGGCGAAAAGAACCCCGGCGAGGGGAGUGAAAAAGAACCUGAAACCGUGUACGUACAAGCAGUGGGAGCACAGAGCAAUCUGUGUGACUGCGUACCUUUUGUAUAAUGGGUCAGCGACUUAUAUUCUGUAGCAAGGUUAACCGAAUAGGGGAGCCGAAGGGAAACCGAGUCUUAACUGGGCGUUAAGUUGCAGGGUAUAGACCCGAAACCCGGUGAUCUAGCCAUGGGCAGGUUGAAGGUUGGGUAACACUAACUGGAGGACCGAACCGACUAAUGUUGAAAAAUUAGCGGAUGACUUGUGGCUGGGGGUGAAAGGCCAAUCAAACCGGGAGAUAGCUGGUUCUCCCCGAAAGCUAUUUAGGUAGCGCCUCGUGAAUUCAUCUCCGGGGGUAGAGCACUGUUUCGGCAAGGGGGUCAUCCCGACUUACCAACCCGAUGCAAACUGCGAAUACCGGAGAAUGUUAUCACGGGAGACACACGGCGGGUGCUAACGUCCGUCGUGAAGAGGGAAACAACCCAGACCGCCAGCUAAGGUCCCAAAGUCAUGGUUAAGUGGGAAACGAUGUGGGAAGGCCCAGACAGCCAGGAUGUUGGCUUAGAAGCAGCCAUCAUUUAAAGAAAGCGUAAUAGCUCACUGGUCGAGUCGGCCUGCGCGGAAGAUGUAACGGGGCUAAACCAUGCACCGAAGCUGCGGCAGCGACGCUUAUGCGUUGUUGGGUAGGGGAGCGUUCUGUAAGCCUGUGAAGGUGUACUGUGAGGUAUGCUGGAGGUAUCAGAAGUGCGAAUGCUGACAUAAGUAACGAUAAAGCGGGUGAAAAGCCCGCUCGCCGGAAGACCAAGGGUUCCUGUCCAACGUUAAUCGGGGCAGGGUGAGUCGACCCCUAAGGCGAGGCCGAAAGGCGUAGUCGAUGGGAAACAGGUUAAUAUUCCUGUACUUGGUGUUACUGCGAAGGGGGGACGGAGAAGGCUAUGUUGGCCGGGCGACGGUUGUCCCGGUUUAAGCGUGUAGGCUGGUUUUCCAGGCAAAUCCGGAAAAUCAAGGCUGAGGCGUGAUGACGAGGCACUACGGUGCUGAAGCAACAAAUGCCCUGCUUCCAGGAAAAGCCUCUAAGCAUCAGGUAACAUCAAAUCGUACCCCAAACCGACACAGGUGGUCAGGUAGAGAAUACCAAGGCGCUUGAGAGAACUCGGGUGAAGGAACUAGGCAAAAUGGUGCCGUAACUUCGGGAGAAGGCACGCUGAUAUGUAGGUGAAGUCCCUCGCGGAUGGAGCUGAAAUCAGUCGAAGAUACCAGCUGGCUGCAACUGUUUAUUAAAAACACAGCACUGUGCAAACACGAAAGUGGACGUAUACGGUGUGACGCCUGCCCGGUGCCGGAAGGUUAAUUGAUGGGGUCAGCGCAAGCGAAGCUCUUGAUCGAAGCCCCGGUAAACGGCGGCCGUAACUAUAACGGUCCUAAGGUAGCGAAAUUCCUUGUCGGGUAAGUUCCGACCUGCACGAAUGGCGUAAUGAUGGCCAGGCUGUCUCCACCCGAGACUCAGUGAAAUUGAACUCGCUGUGAAGAUGCAGUGUACCCGCGGCAAGACGGAAAGACCCCGUGAACCUUUACUAUAGCUUGACACUGAACAUUGAGCCUUGAUGUGUAGGAUAGGUGGGAGGCUUGGAAGUGUGGACGCCAGUCUGCAUGGAGCCGACCUUGAAAUACCACCCUUUAAUGUUUGAUGUUCUAACGUUGACCCGUAAUCCGGGUUGCGGACAGUGUCUGGUGGGUAGUUUGACUGGGGCGGUCUCCUCCUAAAGAGUAACGGAGGAGCACGAAGGUUGGCUAAUCCUGGUCGGACAUCAGGAGGUUAGUGCAAUGGCAUAAGCCAGCUUGACUGCGAGCGUGACGGCGCGAGCAGGUGCGAAAGCAGGUCAUAGUGAUCCGGUGGUUCUGAAUGGAAGGGCCAUCGCUCAACGGAUAAAAGGUACUCCGGGGAUAACAGGCUGAUACCGCCCAAGAGUUCAUAUCGACGGCGGUGUUUGGCACCUCGAUGUCGGCUCAUCACAUCCUGGGGCUGAAGUAGGUCCCAAGGGUAUGGCUGUUCGCCAUUUAAAGUGGUACGCGAGCUGGGUUUAGAACGUCGUGAGACAGUUCGGUCCCUAUCUGCCGUGGGCGCUGGAGAACUGAGGGGGGCUGCUCCUAGUACGAGAGGACCGGAGUGGACGCAUCACUGGUGUUCGGGUUGUCAUGCCAAUGGCACUGCCCGGUAGCUAAAUGCGGAAGAGAUAAGUGCUGAAAGCAUCUAAGCACGAAACUUGCCCCGAGAUGAGUUCUCCCUGACUCCUUGAGAGUCCUGAAGGAACGUUGAAGACGACGACGUUGAUAGGCCGGGUGUGUAAGCGCAGCGAUGCGUUGAGCUAACCGGUACUAAUGAACCGUGAGGCUUAACCUUACAACGCCGAAGGUGUUU
Molecule: ribosomal RNA, 2933 nt
Filed under: Escherichia coli
Lineage: Bacteria; Pseudomonadati; Pseudomonadota; Gammaproteobacteria; Enterobacterales; Enterobacteriaceae
Description: 23S ribosomal RNA
Rfam family: Bacterial large subunit ribosomal RNA
Source: RNAcentral